AUUGAACGCUGGCGGCAUACCUUACACAUGCAAGUCGAACGGCAGCACGGGAGCAAUCCUGGUGGCGAGUGGCGAACGGGUGAGUAAAGUAUCGGAACGUGCCCAGUCGUGGGGGAUAACGUAGCGAAAGUUACGCUAAUACCGCAUACGAUCUAUGGAUGAAAGCGGGGGAUCGCAAGACCUCGCGCGAUUGGAGCGGCCGAUAGCAGAUUAGGUAGUUGGGGGGGUAAAGGCCCACCAAGCCGACGAUCUGUAGCUGGUCUGAGAGGACGACCAGCCACACUGGGACUGAGACACGGCCCAGACUCCUACGGGAGGCAGCAGUGGGGAAUUUUGGACAAUGGGCGCAAGCCUGAUCCAGCCAUGCCGCGUGCAGGAUGAAGGCCUUCGGGUUGUAAACUGCUUUUGUAGGGAACGAAAAGGAUUGACUUAAUACGUUGGACUCAUGACGGUACCGUAAGAAUAAGCACCGGCUAACUACGUGCCAGCAGCCGCAGUAA
This 500-nucleotide ribosomal RNA is filed under the name uncultured bacterium. Its description in RNAcentral is "partial 16S ribosomal RNA". It matches the Rfam family "Bacterial small subunit ribosomal RNA", at positions 30 to 523 of the family's 1533-position model. The record is from RNAcentral.